Molecule: ribosomal RNA, 253 nt
Filed under: uncultured bacterium
Lineage: Bacteria
Description: partial 16S ribosomal RNA
Rfam family: Bacterial small subunit ribosomal RNA
Source: RNAcentral
UACGUAGGGGGCAAGCGUUGUCCGGAAUCAUUGGGCGUAAAGAGCGCGCAGGCGGCUUGGUAAGUCGGAUGUGAAAUCCCGAGGCUCAACCUCGGGUCUGCAUCCGAUACUGCCCGGCUAGAGGUAGGUAGGGGAGAUCGGAAUUCCUGGUGUAGCGGUGAAAUGCGCAGAUAUCAGGAGGAACACCGGUGGCGAAGGCGGAUCUCUGGGCCUUACCUGACGCUCAGGCGCGAAAGCUAGGGGAGCGAACUGG